RNAcentral lists this ribosomal RNA (539 nucleotides) under uncultured euryarchaeote. Its description in RNAcentral is "bacterial SSU rRNA". It matches the Rfam family "Archaeal small subunit ribosomal RNA", at positions 314 to 859 of the family's 1478-position model. Lineage: Archaea; Methanobacteriati; Methanobacteriota. The record is from RNAcentral.
SCCCUAGUCCUACGGGAUGCAGCAGGCGCGAAACCUUUACAAUGCGSGAAAGCGUGAUAAGGGAACUCCGAGUGCCCGUYAAAUCGGGCUGUCCUUCAGUUUAAAAAACUGGYGAAGAAAGGGCCGGGCAAGACCGGUGCCAGCCGCCGCGGUAAUACCGGCGGCUCGAGUGGUGGCCACUAUUACUGGGCUUAAAGCGUUCGUAGCUGGUUUGUUAAGUCUCUGGGGAAAUCUUCCGGCUUAACCGGAAGGCGUCUCAKGGAUACUGGCAGACUAGGGACCGGAAGAGGUGAGGGGUACUCCAGGGGUAGGAGUGAAAUCCUGUAAUCCUUGGGGGACCACCUGUGGCGAAGGCGCCUCACCAGGACGGCUCCGACAGUGAGGGACGAAAGCUGGGGGAGCAAACCGGAUUAGAUACCCGGGUAGUCCCAGCCGUAAACGAUGUGCGUUAGGUGUAUCGGUGACCACGAGUCACCGAGGUGCCGAAGAGAAAUCGUGAAACUACCGCCUGGAAGUACGGUCGCAAGGCUGAAACUUAA